UUAAAUCAUGUUACUUUCUAUUUUGUUCAAUUCAGUCCAAUAUCAAUCACAAUGAAUUAAUUUAUACAACAAUCAUGUACUCACCUCGAUACUCAAUCAUUCAAUUAACAUGAAUAUGAAAACACAUAUAUUGAUCUCGAAUCAUAAAAGUACAAAUUGAAUGCUUAUUUCACUUGUCGACGACUCUUGUUUUUCCUUUCCCUCUCGACAACCUAGUGUCGUCCUUAGCUACAUAUGAUAAUUUAAAAAAUAAACAAUAUCAAAUUUCAUCCAAUUCACAUUCAAAUACAAAACCAAGCAUAUUUUACAUUUUUUUUCAAUUUAGUCUUUAUACGCAGGAUAUGCAUAUCUUUUGAUAUUUAGCAUCAAAUUAAAAUCCAAUUUCACAUUAUUUCAUUAGGGACCUUAUAUUUUCUAUUCAUAGCAUAAUUUCAUGAUAUAUUUUCAAUUUAUUCCCUAAUGUCACAAAGUUAACUAUCAAUCUUAUUUAGCUUUACAAUUUAGUUCUUAUCAUGAUAUAAAUUUAAUUUCUAUCAAUUUCAAGCCUAAUUAAUCAAUUUCUCAACAAUGGCAACUUGCUAAAAACUCAACAAUUGAAAAAAUUGUUACAUAGGCUAACUAAAUCAAACUCCCAUGACCAUAAAUCUAUAAAAAAUUACAUAAAAAAUAGCUUGGUUACCUUUAGAUUUUAGCUUGGCCGAAUGUAUUGAGGGAGCUUGAAGCUUUCUUUAUUUCUAAAUAAUG
This 744-nucleotide long non-coding RNA is filed under the name Gossypium barbadense (sea-island cotton). RNAcentral's name for it is "long non-coding RNA (GBAR_LNC021492)". The record is from RNAcentral. Lineage: Eukaryota; Viridiplantae; Streptophyta; Magnoliopsida; Malvales; Malvaceae.